UGGACAGAUUAUUGUAUUCGACUGUAUUCACGGCGUGAAACAGGGGAUUACACUGUUUUUAAACGGAAAGUAAAUCAAUUAACAUAAUAGACUCCU
RNAcentral lists this microRNA precursor (96 nucleotides) under Nicotiana sylvestris (wood tobacco). Its description in RNAcentral is "MIR6152 microRNA precursor family". It matches the Rfam family "MIR6152 microRNA precursor family". The record is from Rfam by way of RNAcentral. Lineage: Eukaryota; Viridiplantae; Streptophyta; Magnoliopsida; Solanales; Solanaceae.